UGACCUGGACGUGAUUUGAACACGCAGCCUUCUGGUCUGGAGUCAGACGCGCUACCGUUGCGCAACCGAGUC
RNAcentral lists this transfer RNA (72 nucleotides) under Araneus ventricosus. Its description in RNAcentral is "tRNA-Trp". Lineage: Eukaryota; Metazoa; Arthropoda; Arachnida; Araneae; Araneidae. The record is from RNAcentral.